AUUGAACGCUGGCGGCAUGCCUUACACAUGCAAGUCGAACGGCAGCACGGGAGCUUGCUCCUGGUGGCGAGUGGCGAACGGGUGAGUAAUACAUCGGAACGUACCCUGAAGUGGGGGAUAACGUAGCGAAAGUUACGCUAAUACCGUAUAUUCUGUGAGCAGGAAAGAGGGGGAUCGCAAGACCUCUUGCUUUAGGAGCGGCCGAUGUCGGAUUAGCUAGUUGGUGAGGUAAAGGCUCACCAAGGCGACGAUCCGUAGCGGGUCUGAGAGGAUGAUCCGCCACACUGGGACUGAGACACGGCCCAGACUCCUACGGGAGGCAGCAGUGGGGAAUUUUGGACAAUGGGCGCAAGCCUGAUCCAGCCAUGCCGCGUGAGUGAAGAAGGCCUC
Molecule: ribosomal RNA, 390 nt
Filed under: uncultured bacterium
Lineage: Bacteria
Description: bacterial SSU rRNA
Rfam family: Bacterial small subunit ribosomal RNA
Source: RNAcentral